Molecule: ribosomal RNA, 622 nt
Filed under: uncultured fungus
Lineage: Eukaryota; Fungi
Description: eukaryotic LSU rRNA
Rfam family: 5.8S ribosomal RNA (bases 253-406)
Source: RNAcentral
AAGCGUUUUGGAGAAGCUCUCAACAAACAGGUGAGGUCUAGUUCUGUGCUGCGAGGCUUUGAAUAAAAGUGUGGCCUAGUUCCGUGCUGUGUAAAGCUUCCAAUAAAAGUGCGGCCUAGAUCUGUGCCGAGAUAUGUUGUGGCGUUUUCAGACUGCUCUGGGGUUAAAACCCACCCGGCGGAAGAAUAAAUAAUCUCUUGGGUGUUUUUACUAUUGAAUCUGUCUGAAUGAGAAGUACCAAAGAAUUGUUAAAACUUUCAGCAACGGAUCUCUUGGUUCUCGCAUCGAUGAAGAACGCAGCGAAAUGCGAUAAGUAGUGUGAAUUGCAGAAUUCCGUGAAUCAUCGAAUCUUUGAACGCACAUUGCGCCUUUUGGUAUUCCGAAAGGCAUGCCUGUUCGAGAGUCAUAGAUCAACCCUUUCAACUCCUAUUUGUUAUACUUUCAAGGGACUUGGUUAUGGUGGAAGAGGAGAGGAAAACAUCUGUAAGGAUUCUCCUCCCCAUCAAAAUUCAAUGGCGGGUCCGUACCCAUCAUCUGUUGAAGUGAGGCGUUGUAAAAGCUGUCAAGCACUUUUCGUCAACCAGCAGUUGGGAACGUUGGGCUCAUUGCCGUUAUUAAAACC